This 496-nucleotide ribosomal RNA is filed under the name uncultured bacterium. RNAcentral's name for it is "SSU rRNA". It matches the Rfam family "Bacterial small subunit ribosomal RNA", at positions 26 to 521 of the family's 1533-position model. The record is from RNAcentral.
AGAUUGAACGCUGGCGGCAUGCCUUACACAUGCAAGUCGAACGGUAACGCGGGGGCAACCCUGGCGACGAGUGGCGAACGGGUGAGUAAUACAUCGGAACGUACCCAGUAGUGGGGGAUAGCUCGGCGAAAGCCGGAUUAAUACCGCAUACGACCUAUGGGUGAAAGCGGGGGAUCGCAAGACCUCGCGCUAUUGGAGCGGCCGAUGUCGGAUUAGCUAGUUGGUGAGGUAAAGGCUCACCAAGGCGACGAUCCGUAGCUGGUCUGAGAGGACGACCAGCCACACUGGGACUGAGACACGGCCCAGACUCCUACGGGAGGCAGCAGUGGGGAAUUUUGGACAAUGGGCGAAAGCCUGAUCCAGCCAUGCCGCGUGUGUGAAGAAGGCCUUCGGGUUGUAAGCACUUUUGUCCGGACGAACGUCAAGGGCGAAUAUCCUUGGUAAUGACGGUACCGGAAGAAUAAGCACCGGCUAACUACGCGCCAGCAGCCGCGGU